Molecule: ribosomal RNA, 303 nt
Filed under: uncultured bacterium
Lineage: Bacteria
Description: partial 16S ribosomal RNA
Rfam family: Bacterial small subunit ribosomal RNA
Source: RNAcentral
AGCAGCCGCCGCGGUAAAACGGAGGGUGCAAGCGUUAUCCGGAUUUAUUGGGUUUAAAGGGUCCGUAGGCGGAUCUGUAAGUCAGUGGUGAAAUCUCACAGCUUAACUGUGAAACUGCCAUUGAUACUGCAGGUCUUGAGUAAAUUUGAAGUGGCUGGAAUAAGUAGUGUAGCGGUGAAAUGCAUAGAUAUUACUUAGAACACCAAUUGCGAAGGCAGGUCACUAAGAUUUAACUGACGCUGAUGGACGAAAGCGUGGGGAGCGAACAGGAUUAGAUACCCGAGUAGUCCCUGUCUCUUAUAC